This 1259-nucleotide long non-coding RNA is filed under the name Malus domestica (apple). Its description in RNAcentral is "long non-coding RNA (MDOM_LNC000447)". The record is from RNAcentral. Lineage: Eukaryota; Viridiplantae; Streptophyta; Magnoliopsida; Rosales; Rosaceae.
GAUGGCCCAAAUCUCCACGACCCGCUUUCUCAGUUCCCGGCUUCUUCACCUUCCGUCGUUUCGUGCUGCCUUUGGCCUUCGGAGAAGCGUUGUCGGCGUAGUCCACUUUGCUCUGCUCCACCAUAUUACUCAUCUGCCCCAAGCUUUUCUGAGUAACACGAACCCAUUUAGUAUUCGAAUUUAUGCGGUGCUCCGGAAUAAAAAUGACUGAAGCUGGUUGAUUUUGUGGCAGAUCAGGUGUGCUCCGAGAAAAAAAAAAUGACUAGAGCUGGUUGUGACCCACGGAUGGCACCAGAAAGUGGCGAGAACAUGAACUGGGGCUAGUUGAUGUUGUGGCAUAUCAGGAGCCGACACGGGUUGAUGCUGCUGCUGCUUGGACCUGGCGUCGCUGCUCUGGGAAAUGACCUUCAUGCCGUCUCCGAGAGUGAAAGAGGGGUCAGACGAGAGGCGGCUGAGGAAGAUGGAGGCAUGUAACUGUAAGGCUAGAGAUAGGGAGAGGAUUGCGAGAUCGGCCUACUCUGGUUCUCUGCCGCUCCAUCUCUCCGAUGUGUCUCAUAGUCCCGUUCCUGAAACGAAGUCGCGUGUGGGACGAAACGAGGUCACGUGUGGGACGAAGCGAGGUCGGGGGCAUCAGACAUGUUGACGCUGACGGGAGAACGACUCUGUUGAUCUUGUGAUGCAAUGGACAGCUCUAUCUCGGAGAGAGGGGCCGGGGACCAGAGUGCGGUGUCUUGGCGUACGGCGGCAGCAACGCUGGCAGCGAAGUUUUAGGUGGUGGGGGUUGAAGACUUUGAGAGAGCCGUGGAAUCUCUUGGGAAUGACGGGAUGAGGGAGGCGGGUGGCGUUGUGUCUGAGAAUUGUUCGUCUUCCAUCUCCUGCCCCCAAUAUAUGAUUGAGCUUCUGGUAUCUUUCUUUACAGUCUGGAAAUUGGUUGGCAGCAGCUAAAACAACAAAGGCAGGCACAGAAGCAGAAGCAGUUGUAGAUCUAGAAGCCCUUCAUCCAACCCGUAUAGCUCGAUCAACAAUGCUUCUUGUAUUUUUCUGUCGUACUAGAUAGAAAGUAAGAUUUCUAUAAUUUUGCAUUGGGAAAGCUUUGGGUUGUUUGGGUUUUUGCAGAUUUUGAUUUUGUAGAUUUUGCAGAUUCACAGUGGAGGUGAAAAAAUGAAAGAGAACCGACAUAACUUUUCGUAUCGAUUCCCACAGACGGCGCCAAAUGUUGAUGCACAAAACCGGAUGGUCUUGGAACAACGUAAAUCCGA